UGGGGAAUCUUGCGCAAUGGGCGAAAGCCUGACGCAGCCAUGCCGCGUGAAUGAUGAAGGUCUUAGGAUUGUAAAAUUCUUUCACCGGGGACGAUAAUGACGGUACCCGGAGAAGAAGCCCCGGCUAACUUCGUGCCAGCAGCCGCGGUAAUACGAAGGGUGCUAGCGUUGUUCGGAAUCACUGGGCGUAAAGCGCGCGUAGGCGGCGAUAUAAGUCAGAGGUGAAAGCCUGGAGCUCAACUCCAGAACUGCCUUUGAAACUAUAUUGCUAGAGUGUCGGAGGGGAUAGCGGAAUUGCUAAUGUAGAGGUGAAAUUCGUAGAUAUUAGCAGGAACACCGGUGGCGAAGGCGGCUAUCUGGACGACAACUGACGCUGAGGCGCGAAAGCGUGGGGAUCAAACAGGAUUAGAUACCCAUGUAGUCCCUGAGCGGGCUGGCAAGGCGCAU
This 447-nucleotide ribosomal RNA is filed under the name uncultured bacterium. RNAcentral's name for it is "bacterial SSU rRNA". It matches the Rfam family "Bacterial small subunit ribosomal RNA", at positions 355 to 825 of the family's 1533-position model. The record is from RNAcentral.